UCCUUGGAGGACUAGUGGUUAGGGCCUGGCGAUCUCACCACCACGGCCCGGGUUCGAAUCCCGGCCAGGGAA
Molecule: transfer RNA, 72 nt
Filed under: Pangasianodon hypophthalmus (striped catfish)
Lineage: Eukaryota; Metazoa; Chordata; Actinopteri; Siluriformes; Pangasiidae
Description: tRNA-Glu
Rfam family: tRNA
About the family: Transfer RNA (tRNA) molecules are approximately 80 nucleotides in length.
Source: RNAcentral